GCUGAGGUAGCCUAGUCUGGCCAAGGCGCUAGACUCGAGAUCUAGUGGGCCAAAAGCCCUCAGGAGUUCAAAUCUCCUCCUCAGCG
RNAcentral lists this transfer RNA (86 nucleotides) under Methanobacteriota archaeon. Its description in RNAcentral is "Euryarchaeota archaeon (hot springs metagenome) tRNA-Ser". It matches the Rfam family "tRNA". From Rfam's summary of the family: Transfer RNA (tRNA) molecules are approximately 80 nucleotides in length. Their secondary structure includes four short double-helical elements and three loops (D, anti-codon, and T loops). Lineage: Archaea; Methanobacteriati; Methanobacteriota. The record is from RNAcentral.